GACUGUUUACAACUUCAUUAUUUUUUAAAGAAGGCAUUUUGUGCGAUUUCACAUCUGGUUACCAUCUACACACAUACUCGAAAGCCCAGCACUUAGAAAAAAGAUUAUGUCAGCAAGAUUCAACUAGCUGCCACUGAAUUGCCGUCAUACAAACAUGAAAACAAUUGUCAAUUUUACUUCCGGUUUGCUUCGCGUAAAGAUGCCGUUGACUUAUCAAAAUGAAAUUGAUGGCACUUGAAAUAUACCCCGGUACUUUAUCCUGACAACAUGACUGGUCACUGGAUGAGAUUAGCCCACCAGUCUUCUGCUCCUUGGAAUUCUGAAGGCUGGUUCGUCAGGUGAAAGACAGCAGUGAACACGUCACAUUUAAUACAAAUUUAAAAUGUGUAUUGUAAUAUCUUCACCAGACUUGUAAGUGUGUACUCGGUCCGGUCAGUCCGAGCGAUACAAAUGCAAAUAAAAUUGAUCAAAACUGCA
Haliotis rufescens (red abalone) is the source of this 477-nucleotide long non-coding RNA. RefSeq lists it as uncharacterized. The transcript is spliced from 2 exons. The record is from RefSeq and is a predicted model, not a curated record. NCBI's taxonomy places the organism in Eukaryota, Metazoa, Mollusca, Gastropoda, Lepetellida, Haliotidae.